Molecule: long non-coding RNA, 677 nt
Filed under: Homo sapiens (human)
Lineage: Eukaryota; Metazoa; Chordata; Mammalia; Primates; Hominidae
Description: PREDICTED lncRNA (TCONS_00166945)
Source: RNAcentral
ACCAGACCAUCUCCCGGCGCGGGUGGAAUUCCCGCGAUCUGUCUCAUUCCCUGCGCCGCCGAGAAAAGUGAGAUCCCGCGAGACUCCCAGGAAUGGCACCAUUGUUGUGCGGAUGCUGAUGCCCAGCGUUGAGCCUGUCGUCUCCUAUAUUAGGGGAAGUUCUCCUGGCCCUUCCCAACUACCUCCCCUGUGCAAGUUUAUUACAACUGAACGGCCUCAAGGAUGAAGUCUGGCUCUGUUGCCCAAGCUGGAGUGUGUUGGCACCAUCUUGGUUCACUGCAACUUCCACCUCCCAGGCUCCAGUGAUUCUCCUGCCUCAGCCUCAAGGGUAGCUGAGAUUACAGGCUGGAGUGCAGUGGCAUGAUCUCACCUCACUGAGAACCUCCACCUCCAGGGUUCAAGUGAUUCUGCUACCUCAACCUCCCAAAUAGCUGGGACUACAGGAAAACAUUCUGCCUGUGUUGCAAUAUCCAGAAACUCCUAGAUAUACUGAUCAACAGCAGUUUGAAUGUUUUCCUGAUCAGUGCCAUUGACAUAGUCCUGACUCACCAGAGAAGCAAAGCAAGCCUCGAAAGAUGGCUCCAAUUCAUUCACCAGGUACUGUGAGAAGGUCUCAGAGUAUCUGGUGCUGCCUGAAGAAGUGAAGCCUGGCCCCGGAGCUCCAAUGUGGGUAGUGG